AUUGAACGCUGGCGGAAUGCUUUACACAUGCAAGUCGAACGGCAGCACGGACUUCGGUCUGGUGGCGAGUGGCGAACGGGUGAGUAAUGUAUCGGAACGUGCCCAGUCGUGGGGGAUAACGUAGUGAAAAUUACGCUAAUACCGCAUACGAUCUAUGGAUGAAAGCGGGGGAUCGCAAGACCUCGUGCGAUUGGAGCGGCCGAUAUCAGAUUAGGUAGUUGGUGGGGUAAAGGCCCACCAAGCCAACGAUCUGUAGCUGGUCUGAGAGGACGACCAAGCAAACUGGAACUGAGACACGGUCCAGACUCCUACGGGAGGCAGCAGUGGGGAAUUUUGGACAAUGGGCGAAAGCCUGAUCCAGCGAUUCCGCGUGCAGGAUGAAGGCCCUCGGGUUGUAAACUGCUUUUGUACAGAACGAAAAGGUUUCUACUAAUACUAGGAGCUCAUGACGGUACUGUAAGAAUAAGCACCGGCUAACUACGUGCCAGCCGCCGCAGAA
Molecule: ribosomal RNA, 499 nt
Filed under: uncultured bacterium
Lineage: Bacteria
Description: partial 16S ribosomal RNA
Rfam family: Bacterial small subunit ribosomal RNA
Source: RNAcentral